UACGGAGGGUGCAAGCGUUACUCGGAAUCACUGGGCGUAAAGAGCGCGUAGGCGGGAUAGCAAGUCAGAUGUGAAAUCCUAUGGCUUAACCAUAGAACUGCAUUGGAAACUGUAUUUCUAGAGUGUCGGAGAGGCAAGUGGAAUUCCUGGUGUAGCGGUGAAAUGCGUAGAUAUCAGGAGGAACACCAGUGGCGAAGGCGGCUUGCUGGACGAUGACUGACGUUGAGGCUCGAAAGCGUGGGGAGCAAAAAGG
This 253-nucleotide ribosomal RNA is filed under the name uncultured Eubacteriales bacterium. Its description in RNAcentral is "uncultured Clostridiales bacterium partial 16S ribosomal RNA". It matches the Rfam family "Bacterial small subunit ribosomal RNA", at positions 524 to 776 of the family's 1533-position model. Lineage: Bacteria; Bacillati; Bacillota; Clostridia; Eubacteriales. The record is from RNAcentral.